RNAcentral lists this ribosomal RNA (497 nucleotides) under uncultured bacterium. RNAcentral describes it as "partial 16S ribosomal RNA". It matches the Rfam family "Bacterial small subunit ribosomal RNA", at positions 28 to 507 of the family's 1533-position model. The record is from RNAcentral.
GAUGAACGCUGGCGGCGUGCCUAAUACAUGCAAGUCGAGCGAACAGACGAGGAGCUUGCUCCUCUGACGUUAGCGGCGGACGGGUGAGUAACACGUGGAUAACCUACCUAUAAGACUGGGAUAACUUCGGGAAACCGGAGCUAAUACCGGAUAAUAUAUUGAACCGCAUGGUUCAAUAGUGAAAGACGGUUUUGCUGUCACUUAUAGAUGGAUCCGCGCCGCAUUAGCUAGUUGGUAAGGUAACGGCUUACCAAGGCAACGAUGCGUAGCCGACCUGAGAGGGUGAUCGGCCACACUGGUACUGAGACACGGUUCAGACUCCUACGGGAGGCAGCAGUAGGGAAUCUUCCGCAAUGGGCGAAAGCCUGACGGAGCAACGCCGCGUGAGUGAUGAAGGUCUUCGGAUCGUAAAACUCUGUUAUUAGGGAAGAACAAAUGUGUAAGUAACUAUGCACGUCUUGACGGUACCUAAUCAGAAAGCCACGGCUAACUACGUG